This 652-nucleotide long non-coding RNA is filed under the name Medicago truncatula (barrel medic). Its description in RNAcentral is "long non-coding RNA (MTRU_LNC006827)". Lineage: Eukaryota; Viridiplantae; Streptophyta; Magnoliopsida; Fabales; Fabaceae. The record is from RNAcentral.
AGACCAUGGAAUUUAUAUUUGUGAGGAUCUAUUUUAUUAGAUUAUGAGUAUCAGUAAUAAUAAAUUAAAUAAUUUUGACCAAAAUACAGUCACGGUUGGAAAUUUAUUUUGUGGAUACCUUAUAACCACUAUUGCCUAUUAAUUUGAUAAAAGAAUUGAUUUGGCAUUAGUUAAAGCAUCAUGUAAUUUUGAGUGGAUUUCUUCUAUUUUCAAUAUACAUAGGCUUAGAGUAACUCCCUAUUAGCGCAGCGUUAGGUUUCUUGUGGUGCAAGCAAAACAAAAUUAGGGUUUAAAUGGAGAAGAUGAAGUUGGUUAUGGUGGUUGAAGUUAGUUGGGGAGAGAGAGUAUUGAAUUGAAAAUUUUAUUCACACACAAAUGAUUGAGUUGCAAGCAAGUAUAUAUACAAUGACUUAUAGAGUAAGUCUCUUGUAACUAACUAAAGUGAAGUUUAUCCAAACUAACAAACUAAACUCUUAAGUGUUUGUAAUCAUUUGGAUAUAUAUAAUUUUGUUUUAGCUUCUUAAAAAAAAUCACUUGAUCUUACUAAUAAUUUAUUCACGUGUAACCUUUGCUUCUCUCUUAGCUUGAUCCAGUGGUAACCUGUCUUUUAUUUUACUUUUUUCUUAAAUAGCUUAAUGGAGAUCAAAUGGCC